UGAGGAAUAUUGGUCAAUGGGCGAGAGCCUGAACCAGCCAUGCCGCGUGCAGGAUGACGGUCCUAUGGAUUGUAAACUGCUUUUGUACGGGAAGAAACCACUCUUCGUGAAGAGUAUUGACGGUACCGUAAGAAUAAGGAUCGGCUAACUCCGUGCCAGCAGCCGCGGUAAUACGGAGGAUCCAAGCGUUAUCCGGAAUCAUUGGGUUUAAAGGGUCCGUAGGCGGUUUUAUAAGUCAGUGGUGAAAUCCGGCAGCUCAACUGUCGAACUGCCAUUGAUACUGUAGAACUUGAAUUAUUGUGAAGUAACUAGAAUAUGUAGUGUAGCGGUGAAAUGCUUAGAGAUUACAU
This 350-nucleotide ribosomal RNA is filed under the name uncultured bacterium. RNAcentral's name for it is "bacterial SSU rRNA". It matches the Rfam family "Bacterial small subunit ribosomal RNA", at positions 355 to 702 of the family's 1533-position model. The record is from RNAcentral.